UUAUGGCUCAGGAUGAACGCUAGCGACAGGCUUAACACAUGCAAGUCGAGGGGCAGCAUAGAAGUAGCAAUACUUGGUGGCGACCGGCGCACGGGUGAGUAACGCGUAUGCAACCUACCUAUCAGAGGGGAAUAACCCGGCGAAAGUCGGACUAAUACCGCAUAAAACAGGGGCACCGCAUGGUGAUAUUUGUUAAAGAAAUUCGCUGAUAGAUGGGCAUGCGUUCCAUUAGGUAGUUGGUGAGGUAACGACUCACCAAGCCGACGAUGGAUAGGGGAACUGAGAGGUUGGUCCCCCACACUGGUACUGAGACACGGACCAGACUCCUACGGGAGGCAGCAGUGAGGAAUAUUGGUCAAUGGGCGGGAGCCUGAACCAGCCAAGUCGCGUGAAGGAAGAAGGAUCUAUGGUUCGUAAACUUCUUUUGCAGGGGAAUAAAGUGCAGGACGUGUCCUGUUUUGUAUGUACCCUGAGAAUAAGGAUCGGCUAACUCCGUGCCAGCCGCCGC
RNAcentral lists this ribosomal RNA (508 nucleotides) under uncultured bacterium. Its description in RNAcentral is "bacterial SSU rRNA". It matches the Rfam family "Bacterial small subunit ribosomal RNA", at positions 17 to 518 of the family's 1533-position model. The record is from RNAcentral.